RNAcentral lists this small RNA (2378 nucleotides) under Pongo abelii (Sumatran orangutan). RNAcentral describes it as "retained intron". Lineage: Eukaryota; Metazoa; Chordata; Mammalia; Primates; Hominidae. The record is from RNAcentral.
CGAACAAGACGAGAACAUUGACACCAGGGCUGACCAUAACCUGAUCAUCAGGCAGGCACGGCUCUCGGACUCAGGAAAUUACACCUGCAUGGCAGCCAACAUCGUGGCUAAGAGGAGAAGCCUGUCAGCCACUGUGGUGGUCUAUGUGAAUGGAGGCUGGUCUUCCUGGACAGAGUGGUCAGCCUGCAAUGUUCGCUGUGGUAGAGGAUGGCAGAAACGUUCCCGGACCUGCACCAACCCAGCUCCUCUCAAUGGUGGGGCCUUUUGUGAGGGAAUGUCAGUGCAGAAAAUAACCUGCACUUCUCUUUGUCCUGUGGAUGGGAGCUGGGAAGUGUGGAGCGAAUGGUCCGUCUGCAGUCCAGAGUGUGAACAUUUGCGGAUCCGGGAGUGCACAGCACCACCCCCGAGAAAUGGGGGCAAAUUCUGUGAAGGUCUAAGCCAGGAAUCUGAAAACUGCACAGAUGGUCUUUGCAUCCUAGGCAUUGAGAAUGCCAGCGACAUUGCUUUGUACUCGGGCUUGGGUGCUGCCGUCGUGGCCGUUGCUGUCCUGGUCAUUGGUGUCACCCUUUAUAGACGGAGCCAGAGUGACUAUGGCGUGGACGUCAUUGACUCUUCUGCAUUGACAGGUGGCUUCCAGACCUUCAACUUCAAAACAGUCCGUCAAGGUAACUCCCUGCUCCUGAAUUCCGCCAUGCAGCCAGAUCUGACAGUUAGCCGGACAUACAGCGGACCCAUCUGUCUGCAGGACCCUCUGGACAAGGAGCUCAUGACAGAGUCCUCACUCUUUAACCCUUUGUCGGACAUCAAAGUCAAAGUCCAGAGCUCAUUCAUGGUUUCCCUGGGAGUGUCUGAGAGAGCUGAGUACCACGGCAAGAAUCAUUCCAGAACUUUUCCCCAUGGAAACAACCACAGCUUUAGUACAAUGCAUCCCAGAAACAAAACGCCCUACAUCCAAAAUCUGUCAUCACUCCCCACAAGGACAGAACUGAGGACAACUGGUGUCUUUGGCCAUUUAGGGGGGCGCUUAGUAAUGCCAAAUACAGGUGAGUAGUAAGUGUGUGUUUGUGUAUUUUCCAUCAUUUAAAUGUUUCAUUUUUACACAGUUACUUCCCAUCAGAUUCAUUUUAUGAUGUUUACUGUCCCCUCAUCAGACCUGCAAACACUGCGGCUCCACUAGUCCACUUGAUUUACACAGCAAACCAGAACCAAUGCUGAGAUUAGAUUUUGCAGUCUUCAUCUCAGCAUGGAUUGAAUGCUUCCUUUGAUUCCCUGUUAGAGCUGAUAACUAUAUUUGCCUGAAAGGUUUGGGUAGUCCCCAGGCUUUAAGCCCCUUUGGAGUAUAUUUCCUAGGCAUGAUAAGAAAGCACUGAAAAAAUUCUCUGGCAUGACAGACCAGGGCCCCAUGUUUAUACCUAAGCAUGGUUUAUGUACUAGUUUGAUAAUUUAGAUAAUUUAGUGAAACGACAUCUCAUCAGUAACUGACCUAAUGAACACUCCAUAGCCCUUGCUAUAGUGUUACUUUCUGGUGAGCAAUGAUGAGGGGUCAUUGUGGAGUUACUCUUUUGAAUACAAACUUCAGUUCCAGGGCUAUGUCAGUAUAACGAAUUCUCACAUAUAUUUUUCCUCCUUUUAGCUGGAAGAGAGGAGAUUUUCAUGAUGUUUUGACAUGAUGCUUAAAGUAUCCAGCCCAGAUCACUUUUAAAAUGAUAUCUUUUCUAUGGAUUAGUUUUCAGAGUUGCUGCCUAAGACCUAAGUGGGUGGUAGACAAGGUCAAUUUCUACUCGGAUUUCUAAGCAAUGAGAAUUAGGUAGUGCACUGAAGCAGGUAGUGAUCUGUUGGCUGCUAAGAGGGAAGAGUAUCUGUUGGAUCUGUAAGUGUUUAUCAAACAACAGGUCAGCACUGAGUCAGGGACAUUAUAGUCUAGACAGAUGUCUCUCUAGGGUGGAGCUAACCAACCUCUCAAAUCAAGCAUUUCAUCCCAUAAAUAAAAUCUGUAAUAGGACUAGUCUGAUUCUAGCAUUCUAGCUAACUGACCCCUCUAGUAGCUUAGACACAAAACUGAAAUUCAUUUCUAGUUGAUUAAUAUUGUCUUAUUCUCCCCUAGAGCAAUUACUUCCUUAAAAUCUUCAUUGCAAAACAUAUUUUACUUCAUCAAAAUAGCCCUCAAUGGCAGCCGUAAUUGAAAGUUUUUUUUUUUAAAUUUCUAAUUCUCUAAAUCUUCAUUGGUCAGUGUUUUAGGACAUGGUAAGGACCUUGGUUCAAAUGUGUAUGCGUGUCAAUGUGUGGAUGCCUAUGCAUGAUUUAAUUCUUCCAGUUGAUAACUGGAAGAUAAUGAGUCAAUCAGCCAUAUUUACCAAUUAACUUUUCUGUAAGAAUUC